This 252-nucleotide ribosomal RNA is filed under the name uncultured bacterium. RNAcentral describes it as "partial 16S ribosomal RNA". It matches the Rfam family "Bacterial small subunit ribosomal RNA", at positions 524 to 776 of the family's 1533-position model. The record is from RNAcentral.
UACGGGGGGGCAAGCGUUGUUCGGAAUUACUGGGCGUAAAGGGCUCGUAGGCGGCCAACUAAGUCAGACGUGAAACCCCUCGGCUUAACCGGGGAACUGCAUCUGAUACUGGAUGGCUUGAGAUUGGGAGAGGGAUGCGGAAUUCCAGGUGUAGCGGUGAAAUGCGUAGAUAUCUGGAGGAACACCGGUGGCGAAGGCGGCAUCCUGGACCAACACUGACGCUGAGGAGCGAAAGCGUGGGGAGCGAACAGG